CAUGACUUCUAAAAUGGCUGACCAUCCAAGCUCAUUCUCUCUCUCUCUGUAGCUCGGAGAUUGCUGAGGGAGCUCCGUGGAGUCAUCUACCACAAAGAAUGACAACCUUUAACCUACAGAGGCCGCAUGAGUGGAAGAGUCCCUGCGAACCCACUGAAGUCUGGGAGGCAAAGCAGAACCAAGAGAAGAGCUUAUCACACCUGGUUUGCCUCAUCUGAAAAUUUGGCUCCGCAGGGAAUGCCAGGAAAAUGCGAGCUGCUGCCGGAAAGGAAAAUCUGUACGGGAGAUAAGAUCGCUGGGAAGAUGUGUGCUGAUCUGCUUUGAGGGAUGAGUCUGAUCCCUCCGUGCAUGGCUUAAUUGGAUUCUAAAGUUGGCUCUUGCUAAAAAGCACAGCUAAGGAAAACUUAGGGACGGAGCAUAUGUCCUCGUUUCUGUUGCUAAUAGAUAA
This 448-nucleotide long non-coding RNA is filed under the name Rattus norvegicus (Norway rat). RNAcentral's name for it is "long non-coding RNA NONRATT033820". The record is from RNAcentral. Lineage: Eukaryota; Metazoa; Chordata; Mammalia; Rodentia; Muridae.